RNAcentral lists this long non-coding RNA (897 nucleotides) under Sus scrofa (pig). RNAcentral describes it as "lncRNA (ENSSSCG00065007429.1)". Lineage: Eukaryota; Metazoa; Chordata; Mammalia; Artiodactyla; Suidae. The record is from RNAcentral.
GCUCAAGCUGCUGAUCAGACUUCUAACCCCUUGCUCUCUAGUCACUCUGGCCUUGGUGAGAAAAGAAAACUUAUGGCAGUAAUGAGCUUACCUUGCAGGACCUCCAGUCUGCAGAUCGCCAGCCCACUGCAUGGAGUUCACUGCCCUGGACCAGAAGGCAAGGAGGAGCUGAUCAUCCCUAUCUCCGAGUCACUUCCGCAACCUAUACAAUCCACCAUUGUGCUGAAGGGAGCCUGGGCUCCCCCUCCUAUUUCACACCCUCUCUGCCCUGCUGGACAAUAAGCGAAACCAAAGUAGCAACCAUGCUCUGAUCAUCAGUGAUCUCCACACCCAGCACAGCCCUAGCCCAUAUCAGAGGCUUCAUUAUUGAGUGAAUGAAUGAAGCAAUGAAGGAAGAGGAGGAAAGAAAUACUCAGUGAAUUCUACGUCAACUGAAGUCAACUCCUGCAGAACCCAACCAAGGACACCAAGAGAAAAGAGAUCAGAAGCAGGGUACAGGAAUUCCCAUCGUGGCUCAGUGGUUAAUGAACCCAACUAGUAUCCAUGAGGAUGUGGGUUCGAUCCCUGGCCUCAAUCAGUUGGUUAAGGAUCCGGCGUUGCUGUGAGCUGUAGUGUAGAUCACAGGCUCAGAUCAGAUCCCUCGUUGAUGUGGCUGUGGUGUAGGCCUGCAGCUACAGCUCCAAUUUGACCCCUAGCCUGGGAUACAUGCCUCCAGUGUGGCCCUAAAAAGACAGAGAAAAAAAAAAAGGCAAAUAAUGUGUCAGUACCGAGCCUCAUGAAAGUGUUUCAGAGAAAUCCCCACCCCACACCCAGGGUUUCUGGAACCACACUUUGAGAACUGCUGAAUUAAGAUAUAGAUCAUGUGGGAGUUCCUGCUGUGGCACAGUGGGUUAAGAA